AAGACUAUACUUUCAAGGGUCAUUUCUAUAGUCAGUUACUAGAGAAGUUUCUAUGAUCUUGUAGAGCACCAGAAACCACGAGGAGGAAACCAGCAUUCUCUUCUGAGUGUGAAACCGGCUCUAGGUGUUGCUUCACUGCAAUUGUCAUUUGCCAUGAAUGAUUGUUUUUCUCUUCUUCUGGAAGAGUAAGAAGGAGAGGACACAGUCUGAGUAGU
This 215-nucleotide small nucleolar RNA is filed under the name Carlito syrichta (Philippine tarsier). RNAcentral describes it as "Small nucleolar RNA U3 (ENSTSYG00000034191.1)". It matches the Rfam family "Small nucleolar RNA U3". From Rfam's summary of the family: Small nucleolar RNAs (snoRNAs) are involved in the processing and modification of rRNA in the nucleolus. There are two main classes of snoRNAs: the box C/D class, and the box H/ACA class. U3 snoRNA is a member of the box C/D class. Lineage: Eukaryota; Metazoa; Chordata; Mammalia; Primates; Tarsiidae. The record is from Rfam by way of RNAcentral.